Molecule: long non-coding RNA, 571 nt
Organism: Cryptomeria japonica (Japanese cedar)
Lineage: Eukaryota; Viridiplantae; Streptophyta; Pinopsida; Cupressales; Cupressaceae
Exons: 2
Source: RefSeq, a predicted model, not a curated record
UCCAGAUGCCUGCAUGUUAAAAGAACUCUCACUUUCACUAUAAUAGAAAUUAUAGUCAAGAAAACGGCCGUUGAAAAAACAUAAAGAAUACACUCUCUUUUAUUAAAUAGAUGUUUCCGUUGGUUUUUGCUUCACAUUGUAUAACGCCGAUGCAGGGCACGUCUCGUGUUCGAAUCUUCAUCUCGCCUACAAUUCCUGAAUCUUGAAGAUGGGAAUGAGAAGCUUUGUUUCGGCUCUAAAAUCUAGGUUUAAGGAGGAUAAAUCGAAGAAAACAGUGUACUUACGAAUGGAUCGGACGGAGAGUAUGAAGGUCGAAGCAAAUAGUAAGCGUGCGCAGAAAUUGAUUGCUAAAACGCUCAAGAGUGCUGAUAAAUCGGGCUCAAAACCGCUUUGGUAGUAGAAUAAAUAAAUUUUGAUGUGAUCUGUUAAUAGUAUUGUAAUCCAGGAGUCCUCAUGAAAUGGAUGGCUUGAUUUUAGUUAUUUAGAAAGAAAUUUCAAUAGGAUCUGUCCAUACUAUUGUAAUCCAGGAGGUCUUGUGAAAUGGCUAUAUUUUAAAGAAAUAUUUGUUUCA